AUGAUAUAGAAAUAAAAAAAGAGCGAAAGCCUUAACGCAAUAUUACUCCUAUUCAUUUUGUUUAGAGGGUAAUAUAUAUGUAAAGGUUUAUGAGCGUUAAAAGUGAGUAGUUUUCAAUCUGAUAAAA
This 127-nucleotide small nucleolar RNA is filed under the name Plasmodium yoelii yoelii. RNAcentral's name for it is "small nucleolar RNA snoR15". It matches the Rfam family "small nucleolar RNA snoR15". Lineage: Eukaryota; Apicomplexa; Aconoidasida; Haemosporida; Plasmodiidae. The record is from Rfam by way of RNAcentral.